This 749-nucleotide ribosomal RNA is filed under the name uncultured Capnocytophaga sp. RNAcentral's name for it is "bacterial SSU rRNA". It matches the Rfam family "Bacterial small subunit ribosomal RNA", at positions 28 to 776 of the family's 1533-position model. The record is from RNAcentral. Lineage: Bacteria; Pseudomonadati; Bacteroidota; Flavobacteriia; Flavobacteriales; Flavobacteriaceae.
GAUGAACGCUAGCGGCAGGCCUAACACAUGCAAGUCGAGGGAGAGGUUAUCUUCGGGUAACCAAAACCGGCGCACGGGUGCGUAACGCGUAUACAAUCUGCCUUUCACAUAGGGAUAGCCCGAAGAAAUUUGGAUUAAUACCUAAUGGUAUAUAAGAGCGGCAUCGUUUUUAUAUUAAAGCUACGGUGGUGAAAGAUGAGUAUGCGUUCUAUUAGCUAGUUGGAGAGGUAACGGCUCCCCAAGGCGACGAUAGAUAGGGGUUCUGAGAGGGAUGUCCCCCACACUGGUACUGAGAUACGGACCAGACUCCUACGGGAGGCAGCAGUGAGGAAUAUUGGACAAUGGUCGGAGGACUGAUCCAGCCAUGCCGCGUGCAGGAUGAAGGUCCUAUGGAUUGUAAACUGCUUUUGUAAGGGAAGAAUAAGGAGUACGUGUACUUUGAUGACGGUACCUUACGAAUAAGCAUCGGCUAACUCCGUGCCAGCAGCCGCGGUAAUACGGAGGAUGCGAGCGUUAUCCGGAAUCAUUGGGUUUAAAGGGUCCGUAGGCGGGCUGAUAAGUCAGAGGUGAAAGCGCUUAGCUCAACUAAGCAACUGCCUUUGAAACUGUCAGUCUUGAAUGAUUGUGAAGUAGUUGGAAUGUGUAGUGUAGCGGUGAAAUGCUUAGAUAUUACACAGAACACCGAUAGCGAAGGCAUAUUACUAACAAUUUAUUGACGCUGAUGGACGAAAGCGUGGGGAGCGAACAGG